Molecule: unclassified non-coding RNA, 344 nt
Filed under: Hevea brasiliensis (rubber tree)
Lineage: Eukaryota; Viridiplantae; Streptophyta; Magnoliopsida; Malpighiales; Euphorbiaceae
Source: RNAcentral
GGUUCAAUUUCAACUCUUCUUCCUGCAAAUCAGCCAAAAAGAAAAUUAAAUACAGUUUUUAACGGUUCUAUACAAAAUAACACUUCAAACAAAGAAAAUUAUUGGCCAUAAGCACAGAAAUAGAAAUACAAAGUAUCAUCUUGUAGGAAAUUUUAUACAAGUUUCAUGAAAAGUGUAUUAAUAGAUUUUAAGAAGUCAUUAUAUGGAUUGUACACAUGUCUAAGUAAUGGUAAAUGCCCACAGAUCUACAGAUCCAACACCUAUAAUAUAAGAAUAUGAAACAAUUUGUAAGUCAGAGAAAGUAAAUAUACAUGUAACCAAAAUUGCACAAAUACACAUUGCAU